GUAGGUUAGAAAGUUCAGAUUGGAUUUGAACAGGCUGGUUAAACUUUCGAGGUGGGUUGGUUUAAAUAAAGAUGCUGUCACUUUAACCUCUGGGGUUGGUUCCAGUGUGUCAGGGCACACAGUUGGGAGCCGGGUCCGGAACAUAGUCACUGCCUGCCUCAGA
Amblyraja radiata (thorny skate) is the source of this 163-nucleotide long non-coding RNA. RefSeq lists it as uncharacterized. Lineage: Eukaryota; Metazoa; Chordata; Chondrichthyes; Rajiformes; Rajidae. The record is from RefSeq and is a predicted model, not a curated record. The transcript is spliced from 3 exons.